AGUGAACGCUGGCGGUAGGCCUAACACAUGCAAGUCGAACGGCAGCACAGUAAGAGCUUGCUCUUACGGGUGGCGAGUGGCGGACGGGUGAGGAAUACAUCGGAAUCUACUUUUUCGUGGGGGAUAACGUAGGGAAACUUACGCUAAUACCGCAUACGACCUACGGGUGAAAGCAGGGGAUCUUCGGACCUUGCGCGAUUGAAUGAGCCGAUGUCGGAUUAGCUAGUUGGCGGGGUAAAGGCCCACCAAGGCGACGAUCCGCAGCUGGUCUGAGAGGAUGAUCAGCCACACGGGAACUGAGACACGGUCCAGACUCCUACGGGAGGCAGCAGUGGGGAAUAUUGGACAAUGGGCGCAAGCCUGAUCCAGCCAUACCGCGUGGGUGAAGAAGGCCUUCGGGUUGUAAAGCCCUUUUGUUGGGAAAGAAAAGCAGCAGGUUAAUACCCCGCUGUUCUGACGGUACCCAAAGAAUAAGCACCGGCUAACUUCGUG
RNAcentral lists this ribosomal RNA (492 nucleotides) under uncultured bacterium. RNAcentral describes it as "partial 16S ribosomal RNA". It matches the Rfam family "Bacterial small subunit ribosomal RNA", at positions 29 to 507 of the family's 1533-position model. The record is from RNAcentral.